Oncorhynchus tshawytscha (Chinook salmon) is the source of this 789-nucleotide long non-coding RNA. The record is from Ensembl. NCBI's taxonomy places the organism in Eukaryota, Metazoa, Chordata, Actinopteri, Salmoniformes, Salmonidae.
AUGGAACAGUAGUAUGAAGGUGGAUAAAGAUGGUAGAAUGGAACAGUAGUAUGAAGGUGGAUAAAGAUGGUAGAAUGGAACAGUAGUAUGAAGGUGGAUAAAGAUGGUAGAAUGGAACAGUAGUGUGAAGGUGGAUAAAGAUGGUAGAAUGGAACAGUAGUGUGAAGGUGGAUAAAGAUGGUAGAAUGGAACAGUAGUGUGAAGAAGGUGGAUAAAGAUGGUAGAAUGGAACAGUAGUGUGAAGGUGGAUAAAGAUGGUAGAAUGGAACAGUAGUGUGAAGAAGGUGGAUAAAGAUGGUAGAAUGGAACAGUAGUGUGAAGAAGGUGGAUAAAGAUGGUAGAAUGGAACAGUAGUGUGAAGAAGGUGGAUAAAGAUGGUAGAAUGGAACAGUAGUAUGAAGGUGGAUAAAGAUGGUAGAAUGGAACAGUAGUGUGAAGAAGGUGGAUAAAGAUGGUAGAAUGGAACAGUAGUGUGAAGGUGGAUAAAGAUGGUAGAAUGGAACAGUAGUGUGAAGGUGGAUAAAGAUGGUAGAAUGGAACAGUAGUGUGAAGGUGGAUAAAGAUGGUAGAAUGGAACAGUAGUGUGAAGAAGGUGGAUAAAGAUGGUAGAAUGGAACAGUAGUGUGAAGAAGGUGGAUAAAGAUGGUAGAAUGGAACAGUAGUGUGAAGAAGGUGGAUAAAGAUGGUAGAAUGGAACAGUAGUGUGAAGAAGGUGGAUAAAGAUGGUAGAAUGGAACAGUAGUGUGAAGAAGGUGGAUAAAGAUGGUAGAAUGGAACAGUAGUGUGAAG